CCCUCAGCUACUGAUUGGCUGAGAGGACAUUUGAAGUCAUUACCUGUGUUUGGAACCAGGAACAGGCAGUAGAGAACAGAGGGGAAUGGAGCAGAAUCGGAAUGUCAGGAGGGAAGAGGGGAGAUCGGUCAGAUUUUAAUAAACUUUUUAGAACAGAGCUGAUCGCUUAACCCUCAACAUGGAACAGCGUCCUUUUUUAAUUACUGAAGAAUCAUUAAGAAAGACCGUGACCAAAUCUCAAGUGGUGUGAUAACUAUCCUCUUGAUGCAACAUUAAAGGGGUCACAUGACAGACACAGUAUUCUGCAAUCCAUCAGGAGCAUCGAGGAACUGAAAUGAUUUCUUUUCAUUCAUUUUUUAAUAUCAACUUUAUCCCGAUUCCUCUGAAAGCUUUCUUUUUUUUUCAUAUUUUAAUUGCCUCCAAAAAAAAGUCCAAUAAACAAUAUACAAAAAUGCAACACAAUCAAUACCAAUUUCUACACAAUUGUGCCAUCUACAGC
Molecule: long non-coding RNA, 499 nt
Organism: Bufo gargarizans (Asiatic toad)
Lineage: Eukaryota; Metazoa; Chordata; Amphibia; Anura; Bufonidae
Exons: 3
Source: RefSeq, a predicted model, not a curated record